UAGGGAAUCUUCGGCAAUGGGGGGAACCCUGACCGAGCAACGCCGCGUGAGUGAAGAAGGUUUUCGGAUCGUAAAGCUCUGUUGUUAAGGAAGAACGAGUGUGAGAAUGGAAAGUUCAUGCUGUGACGGUACUUAACCAGAAAGGGACGGCUAACUACGUGCCAGCAGCCGCGGUAAUACGUAGGUCCCGAGCGUUGUCCGGAUUUAUUGGGCGUAAAGCGAGCGCAGGCGGUUAGAAAAGUCUGAAGUGAAAGGCAGUGGCUCAACCAUUGUAGGCUUUGGAAACUGUUUAACUUGAGUGCAGAAGGGGGGAGUGGAAGUCCAUGUGUAGCGGUGAAAUGCGUAGAUAUAUGGAGGAACACCGGUGGCGAAAGCGGCUCUCUGGUCUGUAACUGACGCUGAGGCUCGAAAGCGUGGGGAGCGAACAGG
RNAcentral lists this ribosomal RNA (429 nucleotides) under Bacteroidota bacterium. RNAcentral describes it as "Bacteroidetes bacterium partial 16S ribosomal RNA". It matches the Rfam family "Bacterial small subunit ribosomal RNA", at positions 355 to 776 of the family's 1533-position model. Lineage: Bacteria; Pseudomonadati; Bacteroidota. The record is from RNAcentral.